AUUGAACGCUGGCGGCAGGCCUAACACAUGCAAGUCGAGCGGAUGGAGGGAGCUUGCUCCUGGAUUCAGCGGCGGACGGGUGAGUAAUGCCUAGGAAUCUGCCUGGUAGUGGGGGAUAACGUCCGGAAACGGGCGCUAAUACCGCAUACGUCCUGAGGGAGAAAGUGGGGGAUCUUCGGACCUCACGCUAUCAGAUGAGCCUAGGUCGGAUUAGCUAGUUGGUGGGGUAAAGGCCUACCAAGGCGACGAUCCGUAACUGGGCUGAGAGGAUGAUCAGUCACACUGGAACUGAGACGCGGUCCAGACUCCUACGGGAGGCAGCAGUGGGGAAUAUUGGACAAUGGGCGAAAGCCUGAUCCAGCCAUGCCGCGUGUGUGAAGAAGGUCUUCGGAUUGUAAAGCACUUUAAGUUGGGAGGAGGGGCAGUAAGUUAAUACCUUGCUGUUUUGACGUUACCAACAGAAUAAGCACCGGCUAACUUCGUG
This 484-nucleotide ribosomal RNA is filed under the name uncultured bacterium. RNAcentral's name for it is "partial 16S ribosomal RNA". It matches the Rfam family "Bacterial small subunit ribosomal RNA", at positions 30 to 507 of the family's 1533-position model. The record is from RNAcentral.